UUUCACCAAAGUCAAGUUUUAUAGAGU
This 27-nucleotide small RNA is filed under the name Bombyx mori (domestic silkworm). RNAcentral describes it as "ovarian small RNA-38266". Lineage: Eukaryota; Metazoa; Arthropoda; Insecta; Lepidoptera; Bombycidae. The record is from RNAcentral.